UUUUAAGCAUGACUUAAUUAAGAGAACUCUUAAGUAUCCAAACUUUAAAAGUUGCUAUUUCUCACAAGUCUUAGUUGUUAGCUGCAACUGAAAUAGGAUCAACAACUAGGUACUUGCUUAAAGGCACAUUAACCUUUGUCUUCACAUUCAAUAAAUAUAUGCCUGUUUUAUGGACUGGAUGCUUGUGUCCCCCAAAAUUCGUAGGUUGAAGCCCUUACCCCAAUCUGACUGUAUUUGAGAUAGAACCCAUAUGGAAGUAAUCAGGGUAGAAUGAGGUCAUAAAGGUAGGGCCUUGAUCCUGAUAGGAUUAGUGUCAUAAGAGACACCAGAGAACUUUCUCUUUCUCCCCACCAUGUGAGGACACAGUGAGAAGUUGGCCAUCCGCAAGCCAGGAAAAGAACUCUCACCAGAACCUGACCAUGCUCACACCCUGAUGUCAGACUUCCAGGCUCCAGAAUUGCCUGCCCAUGAAAAACCCAAGAGGAUGAAACAGAGAACUCCCAGGCCUUGCCCUGUAGUCACAGAGAACGGGAGACUGCCUGACUGUGGGCAUCACAAGAAUUUCAAGGCCCAGAACUUGGAAGUUAGGCCUGAAGGGAAUGGCUCACAGCAUCUCAGAGUGAUCACCUUCUACGACACAACAAACUUACAACUACUCUUGGAACAAUUACCCUAAGAGAGAACUGAAAACUGGAUUAAAAAAACCCCACAACAAAACAAGGGAGAGUGCUGACUGAGGUGGAAGAGGCAGAAAUUCCUUUCUGGAGAGAAAAAGCCACCUGCUAGCUGUG
This 791-nucleotide long non-coding RNA is filed under the name Equus caballus (horse). Its description in RNAcentral is "lncRNA (ENSECAG00000045380.1)". The record is from RNAcentral. Lineage: Eukaryota; Metazoa; Chordata; Mammalia; Perissodactyla; Equidae.